RNAcentral lists this transfer RNA (70 nucleotides) under Bos indicus (zebu cattle). It matches the Rfam family "tRNA". Rfam says of the family: Transfer RNA (tRNA) molecules are approximately 80 nucleotides in length. Lineage: Eukaryota; Metazoa; Chordata; Mammalia; Artiodactyla; Bovidae. The record is from Rfam by way of RNAcentral. RNAcentral also lists the same sequence under 2 other names.
UCCUGUCGCCCAGUUGGUAAAGAACCUGCCUGCAAUGUAGGAGACCCAGGUUCAAUUCCUGGGUCGGGAA